RNAcentral lists this RNase P RNA (377 nucleotides) under Gemmatimonadota bacterium. RNAcentral's name for it is "Bacterial RNase P class A". It matches the Rfam family "Bacterial RNase P class A". Rfam says of the family: Ribonuclease P (RNase P) is a ubiquitous endoribonuclease, found in archaea, bacteria and eukarya as well as chloroplasts and mitochondria. Its best characterised activity is the generation of mature 5'-ends of tRNAs by cleaving the 5'-leader elements of precursor-tRNAs. The record is from Rfam by way of RNAcentral. Lineage: Bacteria; Pseudomonadati; Gemmatimonadota.
UGAGCGAGCGAGUGAGGAUCGCCGGCGGCGCUUCGGUGUCCGCUGGAGGAAAGUCCGAGCUCCGCAGGGCAGGGUGCCGGGUAACGCCCGGGCGUCGUGAGGCGACGGAAAGUGCCACAGAAAGCAUACCGCCGAUGGCCGCGGUUCGCCGCGUGCACAGGUAAGGGUGAAAGGGUGCGGUAAGAGCGCACCGGGCUCCUGGUAACAGGGGUCGCAUGGUAAACCCCACCCGGAGCAAGGCCAAAUAGGGGGCGAGGAACGGCCCGUUCCAUUCGAGUCCCGGGUAGGCUGCUCGAGGCUGCCGGCAACGGCAGUCCCAGAUGAAUGAUCCUCCCCCGUGAGGGGACAGAACUCGGCUUAUUCCGCGCGCUCACCAC